Molecule: ribosomal RNA, 497 nt
Filed under: uncultured bacterium
Lineage: Bacteria
Description: partial 16S ribosomal RNA
Rfam family: Bacterial small subunit ribosomal RNA
Source: RNAcentral
GAUGAACGCUGGCGGCGUGCCUAAUACAUGCAAGUCGAGCGAACAGACGAGGAGCUUGCUCCUUCGACGUUAGCGGCGGACGGGUGAGUAACACGUAGGUAACCUACCUAUAAGACUGGGAUAACUUCGGGAAACCGGAGCUAAUACCGGAUAAUAUUUCGAACCGCAUGGUUCGAUAGUGAAAGAUGGCUUUGCUAUCACUUAUAGAUGGACCUGCGCCGUAUUAGCUAGUUGGUAAGGUAACGGCUUACCAAGGCAACGAUACGUAGCCGACCUGAGAGGGUGAUCGGCCACACUGGAACUGAGACAUGGUCCAGACUCCUACGGGAGGCAGCAGUAGGGAAUCUUCCGCAAAGGGCGAAAGCCUGACGGAGCAACGCCGCGUGAGUGAUGAAGGUCUUCGGAUCGUAAAACUCUGUUAUUAGGGAAGAACAAACGUGUAAGUAACUGUGCACGUCUUGACGGUACCUAAUCAGAAAGCCACGGCUAACUACGUG